GACGAACGCUGGCGGCGUGCUUAACACAUGCAAGUCGAGCGGUAAGGCCCUUUCGGGGGUACACGAGCGGCGAACGGGUGAGUAACACGUGGGUGACCUGCCCUCAGCUCUGGGAUAAGCCUGGGAAACCGGGUCUAAUACUGGAUAUGACUCCAUGACGCAUGUUGUGGGGUGGAAAGCCUUGUGCGGCUGGAGAUGGGCCCGCGGCCUAUCAGCUUGUUGGUGGGGUGANGGCCUACCAAGGCGACGACGGGUAGCCGGCCUGAGAGGGCGACCGGCCACACUGGGACUGAGACACGGCCCAGACUCCUACGGGAGGCAGCAGUGGGGAAUCUUGCGCAAUGGGCGAAAGCCUGACGCAGCGACGCCGCGUGAGGGAUGACGGCCU
This 388-nucleotide ribosomal RNA is filed under the name uncultured bacterium. RNAcentral's name for it is "bacterial SSU rRNA". It matches the Rfam family "Bacterial small subunit ribosomal RNA", at positions 28 to 417 of the family's 1533-position model. The record is from RNAcentral.